UCCCCUGUGGCCCAGCUGGCUAAGGCGUCCGACUGUUAAGCUUCGUGCAACACAUAAUCGGGAGAUCCACAGUUCGAUCCUGUGCGGGGGAG
Molecule: transfer RNA, 92 nt
Filed under: Emericellopsis atlantica
Lineage: Eukaryota; Fungi; Ascomycota; Sordariomycetes; Hypocreales; Bionectriaceae
Rfam family: tRNA
About the family: Transfer RNA (tRNA) molecules are approximately 80 nucleotides in length.
Source: Rfam by way of RNAcentral